This is a long non-coding RNA of Lolium rigidum, 1860 nucleotides long. RefSeq lists it as uncharacterized. Lineage: Eukaryota; Viridiplantae; Streptophyta; Magnoliopsida; Poales; Poaceae. The record is from RefSeq and is a predicted model, not a curated record. The transcript is spliced from 10 exons.
GAGGGGGAGAGGUUCCCGUCGCUACUUCUCUUUCCCCUCCCCAGAUCCACUCCCUCUCCCAUCCAUGGAGAAGGAGGGGCUCGUGGCUUCCAUGGAAGCCCACCCUGAGUGGAGUACGGGCGCGGUGGCGUCGAGCGGGAGGUCAGCCUCGGAGCCACCUCUCCUCCAGGACGACGAGGCGAGAUCUCGACAAACAAGUUAGGCUUGAUAGAAUACAGAUGCCAUCGAUUGAGGGGUUAGAAAUACGGCCCUUCAUGUGAGCAAGAAAAUUAAGGAAAUUUGGACAGGGGAAUGGACACCAUCCGCGAGGAGGUGCGCUGCCCCAACCUCCGCAAGUGUUGGCUGAUGGCUAGCCUGGCACAACCCCUGCCACCAUCAUGAUCCUUGGUGGCACCUUCAUAUAUGGAUGCAUGUAAGUUGCUUCUGCUAAAUCAUGAGGAUGUGUUUCCCAUGUAAGUUAUACCUUUCGCUUGAUGCUGUAAACCUGGAAGAAAUUAAUCGUAGACGGUGAGUGAUCAGGUCUCGAUUAUGGCUUAUAUUUUUUUCUUAAGUUUCUUAAUUUACCUGGAUAAUAUUAUGUUGUUUUAAAUCAUAGUAUAGAAGCAUCUACUUGUAGUUCUAGCUAGUGCUGCACUUACUUCCUAUUUUUUCUGUGUUUCUGUUUCUAUGGGCAGUGUUACUUUUCUUUUUCAUAAUGCUUUCCUCGUGUCGCGUCAUGUAUGCUCAGUUUGAAUUUACCCAUAUAGAUAACAACCACGUGUGUGGAAAUGAGAAAGGAAAGAGUGUACAUGAGUUUUAUAAAAAUCUCAUUUACCAUUGUAUUCAUCCAUAUCUUAGAAAUAAAAAUAAAUGAUGAAAUCCUAUUAACUUGAAGAAAGAUUAAAUCUAUUCAUGGUCUGACUACAUGACACUUCUGUUUUAUUCUAGCGGCCUUCUCUACUGGAUUAGAUCCGUUCCUGGGAAGCAAUGUGAGCAAGGCGCCGCAUCACCUCCAGAAAAGUUUGAUAAUAGUGGAGGAGAUUUGUCCUGGAGAACUGAAUUCCUCGCAUACUAAUAUAGCUCAAUGGUGAUGAUCCAUUUUAUGUGCUCUUUCUUCUUUCACCAAGGUGACAAUUUUUGCGCUUCUCAUUUCCAUGUGAAGAAACACAACGAUCGAGGUUCAGAGCGGUUCUUGCAUAGCAGAGUUUGUGGUUCAGCACAUUGCCAAAAACUAUUUUAUGGAAUAUGUACUGUUCACAAACUAGACUUUCGGACAAGCAGAUCAUAAAGUUGCAGGAAACACCAGAUGAGAUACCAGAAGAUAAUUAGGUCAAUUGGAGAUGUAUAUGAGUAUAUCUGAAGAGGCCAUUCCAUAGCAAGUUUCGGCUUCCAGAAAUUUUCCGGCGACCACUACUUAGUUCCGAGCCAGGAAUUACUGUACACCAAAUAUAGUUACCUGAUAUGUUCACCUUUUUUUGCAUCUGAUGGACUCUGGGAAUAUCGGCAUUAAGAAGUAUUCAUGGCCCUAAGCCCCUAACGAUGGCCUUGAACCCUUUGUCCAAGCUCCGUCCGGGUAACAUCCGUUGGGACAUGUAUGUAUACAUGUCACGCCCAUGUCACGAAAGUGGUGUAACUGAUGAUGGAAAGAUCAAGAACACCGCAUGUGGUUCUCCUUGAUGCCAGGCUAACCAGAUAUACGAGAAAUUUUGGGGAAGUUGGCCGUGAUUCAGGAGGGAAAGUCUAUGAGAUUUGAAUCUUCAUAUGUCUUUAGACCAGUGAAAGGUCACUCAAUAAUCAAAUUUGUGAAGUACACUCUCUGUUAUCAUUAGGUGAGAACGCUUCAUCCAUAUUGCUGGUGCGGCAUAGUGCCACCCUUACUUG